This 256-nucleotide ribosomal RNA is filed under the name uncultured bacterium. RNAcentral describes it as "partial 16S ribosomal RNA". It matches the Rfam family "Bacterial small subunit ribosomal RNA", at positions 524 to 776 of the family's 1533-position model. The record is from RNAcentral.
UACGUAGGGUGCAAGCGUUAAUCGGAAUUACUGGGCGUAAAGCGUGCGCAGGCGGUUUUGUAAGUCUGUCGUGAAAAUCCCCGGGCUCAACCUGGGAAUUGCGAUGAAGACUGCAAGGUUUGAAUCUGGCAGAGGGGGGGUAGAAUUCCACGUGUAGCAGUGAAAUGCGUAGAGAUGUGGAGGAACACCGAUGGCGAAGGCAGCCCCCCUGGGUCAAGAUUGACGCUCAUGCACGAAAGCGUGGGGAGCAAACAGG